Molecule: ribosomal RNA, 246 nt
Filed under: uncultured bacterium
Lineage: Bacteria
Description: partial 16S ribosomal RNA
Rfam family: Bacterial small subunit ribosomal RNA
Source: RNAcentral
GCUGGCGACCGGCGCACGGGUGAGUAACACGUAUCCAACCUGCCGAUAACUCGGGGAUAGCCUUUCGAAAGAAAGAUUAAUACCCGAUGGCAUAAUUAGACCGCAUGGUCUUAUUAUUAAAGAAUUUCGGUUAUCGAUGGGGAUGCGUUCCAUUAGGCAGUUGGUGAGGUAACGGCUCACCAAACCUUCGAUGGAUAGGGGUUCUGAGAGGAAGGUCCCCCACAUUGGAACUGAGACACGGUCCAA